GCUGCCUUGGCUCAGUCGGUAGAGCGUCGCCUUGGUAAGGCGGAGGUCGGCGGUUCGAUUCCGCUAGGCAGCUCUA
RNAcentral lists this transfer RNA (76 nucleotides) under Dorea sp. 5-2. RNAcentral's name for it is "tRNA-Thr". It matches the Rfam family "tRNA". From Rfam's summary of the family: Transfer RNA (tRNA) molecules are approximately 80 nucleotides in length. Their secondary structure includes four short double-helical elements and three loops (D, anti-codon, and T loops). The record is from RNAcentral. Lineage: Bacteria; Bacillati; Bacillota; Clostridia; Lachnospirales; Lachnospiraceae.